This is an RNA transcript of Esox lucius (northern pike), 1096 nucleotides long. It is a transcript of the gene named protein FAM133B-like, with no coding region annotated. Lineage: Eukaryota; Metazoa; Chordata; Actinopteri; Esociformes; Esocidae. The record is from RefSeq and is a predicted model, not a curated record. The transcript is spliced from 4 exons.
GUAAAUUGCUACACCUACGUCAGCAGCAGGUAUUCUUCAGUGAAUGAAUUCAGGUAAAUAGCUAUAAAUGCUGCAUCAAGUUACACCAACAAUGAAAAGAUGAAAAUGAAGAUGCUCAAAAUGAAAAUAAAGGCAUUGGAGGAAGAGAGGGACUUCCUCCGAACAACUAUUACCCAGCUGACUGGACAAAGAACUUCUUCAGGACCAAGUCCUAGCUCAUCUGUGGGUAAGUUUUUCUACGUUGUUUAAACCUUCAAUAUUUAAGAUAUUAUAACACUUAACUGUUUCUGCGGUUUUACCAGUGCUGUAUUUGAUCAAAAAGUCGGUAGCUGCCUCUAUUAAUGAUUUAACUCUCAAUUUCUAUUUCAGGUGACAACUUUGCCAAGCUUGACGAUCAGUGGGAUGACAGCUCUGAUUCUUCGAGCUCUGAUAGCUCUUCAUCCACAGACAGCGAAAUAGAAAAGAAAAAGAAGAACAAGGAGAAGAAAAAGAACAAAAAUAAGAAGGAAAAAAAGGAAACUAAAAAAGGGAGAGCAAAGACCCCAGAAGAUACAAGAUGGUCCUAGCAGCAUACAAAAGGAAGGGAAGUAUGGCUGCUGCAUUCCAAACCGUGGGUGUUGACAGAAACACCGUGGCCAUGAGUUGUCACCUGGCUGUUUGUUGUCUUGCUAUCCAUCUGAGUUCAUAUACAAUCUAUCUUGCCCACAUACAUUGGAUUUUACACACCUGAAACAUGUUUUUAAUUUUGGGAAUAUAAAUUGAAUGUAUAUUCAAAUUUUUUCUGUACUUUUUUUUCUGUAUAUUAGUUUGUAAAUAUCCUAAGAGACUAGUUUCAUAAUAUUUUUUAUGUAAUUAAAUGUAUUUGUGGUUCAGUGGUAUAGGUCUUUACAUAAUUGUAAAAAUCCAUGAAAGACGUUCUUCAGAGGUAAAUGAAGAGGCCUCACUUGUGGAAUAACCCCCAUACGUGUAAUAAUGAACCACAAUUACAUGUAAUUACGUGGUAGUUCCUGUGUAACUAUAGUGCUGUUACUACAUAUAAUGCCACAUUGUUCAAGGCAACAGAUAUACACAUGAUGUACAGUGUAAGCUUUUUUUA